UGCAAGUCGAGUGCGCGUCCGUAGCAAUACGGAUGGCGCACGGCGCACGGGUGCGUAACACGUGGGCAAUCUGCCCUUCGAUGGGGAAUAACUCCGGGAAACCGAAGCUAAUUCCGCAUAACAUUCCUUGGACCUCGGUUCGAGGACUCAAAGCCGUAAGGCGUCGAAGGAGGAGCCCGCGCCCGAUUAGCUAGUUGGUGAGGUAACGGCUCACCAAGGCAAUGAUCGGUAGCUGGUCUGAGAGGAUGGCCAGCCACACUGGAACUGAGACACGGUCCAGACUCCUACGGGAGGCAGCAGUGGGGAAUCUUGCGCAAUGGGCGAAAGCCUGACGCAGCGACGCCGCGUGGGGGAUGAAGCAUCUCGGUGUGUAAACCCCUUUCGACUGGGACGAAUACCUCGCAAGAGGGGUGACGGUACCAGUAGAAGAAGCCCCGGCUAACUACGUGCCAGCAGCCGCGGUAAGACGUAGGGGGCCAGCGUUGUUCGGAAUUACUGGGUGUAAAGGGUUCGUAGGCGGUGUGGCAAGUCGGGAGUGAAAUCUAUGGGCUUAACCCAUAGGCUGCUUCCGAAACUGCCGUGCUUGAGUGUGGGAGAGGCGCGUGGAAUUGCAGGUGUAGCGGUGAAAUGCGUAGAUAUCUGCAGGAACACCCGUGGCGAAAGCGGCGCGCUGGACCACUACUGACGCUGAGGAACGAAAGCUAGGGGAGCAAACAGGAUUAGAUACCCUGGUAGUCCUAGCCCUAAACGAUCAGGACUUGGGGUGCCACCCGUUCGGGUGUCGUCCCGGAGCUAACGCGUUAAGUCCUGCACCUGGGGAGUACGGUCGCAAGACUGAAACUCAAAGGAAUUGACGGGGGCCCGCACAAGCGG
This 873-nucleotide ribosomal RNA is filed under the name uncultured bacterium. RNAcentral's name for it is "bacterial SSU rRNA". It matches the Rfam family "Bacterial small subunit ribosomal RNA", at positions 56 to 932 of the family's 1533-position model. The record is from RNAcentral.